This 427-nucleotide ribosomal RNA is filed under the name uncultured bacterium. RNAcentral describes it as "bacterial SSU rRNA". It matches the Rfam family "Bacterial small subunit ribosomal RNA", at positions 355 to 775 of the family's 1533-position model. The record is from RNAcentral.
UCGAGAAUUUUUCACAAUGGGCGAAAGCCUGAUGGAGCGACGCCGCGUGGGGGAUGAAUGGCUUCGGCCCGUAAACCCCUGUCAUUCGCGAGCAAACGUUAUUAUUUAAAAGAUGAUAGCCUGAUAGUAGCGAAAGAGGAAGGGACGGCUAACUCUGUGCCAGCAGCCGCGGUAAUACAGAGGUCCCAAGCGUUGUUCGGAUUUACUGGGCGUAAAGGGUGCGUAGGUGGUGGGGUAAGUCGGAUGUGAAAUCGCCGAGCUCGACUCGAAAAGUGCAUUGGAACCUACCCUGCUCGAGGGUUGGAGGGGGGACUGGAAUACUUGGUGUAGCAGUGAAAUGCGUGGCUAUCAAGUGGAACACCAGUGGCGAAGGCGAGUCCCUGGACAACUCCUGACACUGAGGCACGAAAGCUAGGGGAGCAAACAG